AUGGAAAACGAUUCAGAUCAGACGGCCGAUCCAGCGCGAGCAUCCGCCGCCUCUCCCGUGCGAUGUGCGUGUUGCGUGGGACCCAUCCAGCAUUAUCUGUAUGGAGUAGUUCCCUUCAUCUUUAUCUCACCCACACCAACUGCUCAACCUUUUCCUUUCUUCCAUGGCGUUUUGUCUCUCUCAAGUCUUCUCUCAAUCUCCUACCCAAAUCUCCUACUAGAUGAUGUUGUUUUUUGCAGCCAGUGCGUGGUUCAGGGAACUGCGACUGCAUGCAAGACCUCGUCCAUGCCGCCCCUGACCAUCACCAGCCGUGCGAAUAGCGACGGUGUUGUCAGCAACGGUGGCAGUGUUUCUGAAACAUCAUCUUUGUUGCAAUUUUUUCUGCAAUAUCCUGUGUGUUGCAAAAGCUCCUUCAAUAACAUGGCAAAAGAAUUCUGCAACAAAAUCUCUGGUGCGAAAAAAAAUCUGCAACAAGGCUUGUGUUGCAAUAAUGGAGGACGUUGCUAG
RNAcentral lists this ribosomal RNA (507 nucleotides) under Triticum aestivum (bread wheat). Its description in RNAcentral is "partial small subunit ribosomal RNA". The record is from RNAcentral. Lineage: Eukaryota; Viridiplantae; Streptophyta; Magnoliopsida; Poales; Poaceae.